This 254-nucleotide ribosomal RNA is filed under the name uncultured bacterium. RNAcentral describes it as "partial 16S ribosomal RNA". It matches the Rfam family "Bacterial small subunit ribosomal RNA", at positions 524 to 776 of the family's 1533-position model. The record is from RNAcentral.
UACGUAGGGGGCGAGCGUUGUCCGGAUUUAUUGGGCGUAAAGAGCUCGUAGGCGGUUUGGUAAGUCGGGUGUGAAAUCUCCACGCUCAACGUGGAGGGGCCACUCGAUACUGCCAUGACUCGAGUCCGGUAGAGGAGUGUGGAAUUCCCGGUGUAGCGGUGAAAUGCGCAGAUAUCGGGAGGAACACCGGUGGCGAAGGCGGCGACCUGGGUCGAGACUGACGCUGAGGCGCGAAAGCGUGGGGAGCAAACAGG